Molecule: long non-coding RNA, 520 nt
Filed under: Mus caroli (Ryukyu mouse)
Lineage: Eukaryota; Metazoa; Chordata; Mammalia; Rodentia; Muridae
Description: lncRNA (MGP_CAROLIEiJ_G0004956.1)
Source: RNAcentral
CGGACACCGACCGGAGGGGACUGUGCCUUCCAGCCCUGCGUCACCCGAGGCAAGGCCCGCGCCUGCUGCCUUGGCUUGCAACUCGGGAAAGUUCUCAGGCUUCCCCGGAUUGCACCGGCACCCUCACCUUUCCUGCCUGGACAAGCUGGCGACCUCCCGGUCCUCCUUUCAAAUUCUGCUGGUCUCGAAAUCUGCUGUGAGCAUGGAACGCCUCAGCUCUAGCUAGCCCUGGUAACCGACCUCACUCACUCCUCAGGGCUAACUGUGGAUCAUUCAUUUCAUCGCAAGCGAGGUAACCUGUGCACUGAGCAGUCAGUCGAUGGUGGUUCUCGGGAAACCAAGGCGAAGGAACGCUCCCCACCCACCUUGUCCCCGUGGCUAAACGUAGACGUGGAGUCCCUACCCGGCCCCCUCCGGCUACACCUCAGCCAAGCGUAAACUCGGAGGGAAGGACUCUUCUCUGGAGUUCACCUUGCCAACAGGUGUGGCACCCGAAAGAAGAGCCAUCACAUCCCCAAGA